Canis lupus familiaris (dog) is the source of this 1893-nucleotide long non-coding RNA. RefSeq lists it as uncharacterized. The transcript has 3 exons. The record is from RefSeq and is a predicted model, not a curated record. NCBI's taxonomy places the organism in Eukaryota, Metazoa, Chordata, Mammalia, Carnivora, Canidae.
AAGCAAAGCACUUAGGAGACCUUGCAGGUUAGCAGCUGGUGGCAACCAUUUUAGGAGGCGCCUGGCUCCAGGGCUGCCCAGAGGAUCAAGAGAAAGCAGAGCUCAGUUUCAAUAAAUAAUACAUAGUCUCAGGUACAAUGUGUACCUGUAAGUACCUUCUGCGCAGCCUCACGUAGGUGUGCUCUCUCCGCGGUCUCCCAGACUCACAGUGCACCUGUUGUUGAUGAGACUGCUCCGUGAAAAGGCUGGUCUCCUAACAACCAGGGACAUUUGUUUAUAAGGACCUCUGAAAAAGUGAAUAAUCGGACUUCAGAAAGGCCAGGACCUGUUUUAGAUCUCCACUCUGCUGCUGUGCCAUCAACAGAACCUGCCCUCCUGAGCACUGUCUUCAGGGGCCAUGCUAUUUCCUGCACUCCCAGCCACUUGGAAACAACGCUUGGUGUUUCCUUUGGGAAAUUCUUCUCCUCCAUUGUCAGUCAAGUAGUCCUCCCCUCUCCUGGUCUGAAGAAGAUCAGGCUGUUCCACUCAGAUCCUUUUUCUGAAGAAUUCAAACCUUGACUAACCUGACACAAGUUGACUUGAGGUGAGCUGCCUCGCCUUAGAAGGACAAUGAGGAGCCUGGCCACAAUUCCUGCCACCCAGAUUCUCACAAUUCCUGACACUCCCAGCCUGACUUUCAUAUUUCCUUUGAUUCUCUGAGAUCUCUCCAAGCAACAGUGUGCACAAAAAAUCACGGAGAGGUUAUGGAAAAUUAAAUGAUGAAGAUCCAUCCCUGAGAUGCAGAUUCUAUGGAUCUGGCAUUGUUCCCAGGGAUGGGCACUUCUUUUCACAAACACUCCUAAAAAUUCUCAUGCUAGUGACCCAAUGAACACACUGAGAAACACUGCCAUAAACAACCCAUGAAUUCCAUGUGUUAAAUUAGAAAGAGGGGAUUUCUACUGUGUACUCCCAAAUUAUCUUAUCCACCCUUUAUAAAUCUUUGCAAAGUGAUGACUGAUGAGAGGUAUGUACCUUGGGGAGAGAGGGUAACAGAGAUUUCAGAUCUUUCAAGUGGACUUUUUUUUUAACUUCCCCUUGCCCUCCACCCUGUUCUGUUCUCCUUCAGCCACAUGCCCUGGAAAUUGAGUGUGUCCCAACAAUUUAUGUUGAAAAAAAGGUUGCAACAUAUGCAAUGAAACAUAUGCAAUGAUGUUUCAUAGUCUAAUAUCUACCCCAAGGAGCAAGCUAAUUUUCCCAAUAAUGAAAUGACCAAAGAGAACUCAAUGACUCCUGUCGGGAAGCUUCAUAGCCCCCUAAACCCCCUAAAAUGGUGAGAGACAAGAAAUACAUAAACUCCAACACACCCAGUGCCUUAGUCACAGCGCUGAGAGAAGCCACUUUGCCCCCAACUCCCUUUCUUCUGUGUUGCUGUUUGGAAAUCAGAGUGGGUUAUAUAAAUUAUUUAUUCCUUUGGUGAUGGGGAGGAGAACAGUAAUAUGCUCAUCACAAAAGUGCAAGGGGAAAAGAAAGCCCAGUAAACAAUAAAUGGAGCCACUUCUGAUGAUUCAAACAGAAGAGAAUUGGCUGUUAUCUCAAUGUAAUACCAAGAAAGAGAACAAACAGAGGAGUCUGGCUCAAUGGGAAGCAGAUCUAUUCAGCAGAAAGGUCAUCUGGCAAUAGAAGGCCUCUAAGCCAACAACACAAAAGGCUGCAUCAGAGCAGUGCUACCUGCCUGAGCUCCGAUGGGGGGAAGUGGGGAGGAAUGACACAUCUAAAAUAGGAGCCGCUUGUUUAAUAUGGGAAAGAUGGGGCAGCUUUUAAUACACAUGGCUGUUAAAGCCUUUAUUUCAAGGUCUCAAAAGACUAAUCCGGUGGUGUUUUCAUUUUUAAAUGGCUGCGAUUAAAGAUACUUUA